This 1074-nucleotide ribosomal RNA is filed under the name Cerataphis bambusifoliae. RNAcentral's name for it is "partial large subunit rRNA". The record is from RNAcentral. Lineage: Eukaryota; Metazoa; Arthropoda; Insecta; Hemiptera; Hormaphididae.
AAUUAUUUAAAAUAAUAUUUAAUUGAAUUUGUAAAUAAUUUUUUUAUAAAAAUAUUUUAUUUUUAAUUUGUUUUAGUAUUUAGUAAAAAUAAAUUUUUAGAUUUAUAGUUAAUAAGUAUUGUAAAAGAAAUUUAAUAAAUAAUUAAAAGAUUUAAUUUAAGUACCUUUUGUAUCAGGGUUAAUUAAAAUUUUUAAUUUAUUUUAAUUUCUCAAAAUUUAUAGAGUUAAUUUUAUUAUUAAUUUAUUAUUUUAUCAAUAUUUAAAAAAUAAUUUUAGUUUUGAAAUUUAAUUUCGUUAUAAUAUAUUUAGUUAUUUAAGAUUUAAAUUUAAUUUAUAAUUUUAAAAGUUAUAUUAAUUUUUUUGAUAUUAAUAUUUUAAAUUUAAAUUAUUUUAGGGAUAAGCUUGAAAUUUUUAUAUAAUUUAUGUAUAAAAGAUUAAAUAUUUUAUAGAAAUAGAAAUUUUUAUUUUAAAGUUUGUAAAAAUUUAUUAUUUAAUUUUAUUUAAUUUAUUAUAAUUUAUUUAUUUUUAAUAUUAAAUUUUAUAAUAAAAUAUUUUUUUUAUAGUAAUAAUGAUUAAAUUAGUAUAAUAUUAAUUUAUUAAUUAUGAAUUUGGCAAAAUUUAUUUUCAUCUGUUUAACAAAAACAUUGUAUUAAUUUUUAUUUAAUAUAGGAUCUGCUCAAUGAAUUAAUUUUAAAUAGCUGCAGUAUAAUGACUGUGCAAAGGUAGCAUAAUAAUUAGUUUUUUAAUUGAAAACUUGAAUGAAAGAUUUGAUGAAAAAUAAACUUUAUUAUUAAUAUAUUUAUAAUUUUAUUUUUAAGUAAAAAAGCUUAAAUAAUUUAAAGGGACGAUAAGACCCUAUAAAACUUUAUAAUUUUUAGAUUUAUUUUUUUUUUGUUUAAAUAAAUUAAUUAAUUUUAAUAAUUAUUUUAUUGGGGUGAUAAAAAAAAUUUUUUAACUUUUUUUAAAUUAAACAUUAUUAAAUGAUUAUUUGAAUUAAAAAUUUUAAUUAAAGGAAAAAGUUACUUUAGGGAUAACAGCGUAAUUAAUUUUUUAAGUUCAAAUUUUAAAAUUAGU